This 397-nucleotide ribosomal RNA is filed under the name uncultured bacterium. Its description in RNAcentral is "partial 16S ribosomal RNA". It matches the Rfam family "Bacterial small subunit ribosomal RNA", at positions 523 to 918 of the family's 1533-position model. The record is from RNAcentral.
AUACGUAGGGGGCGAGCGUUGUCCGGAAUGAUUGGGCGUAAAGGGCGCGUAGGCGGCCUGUUAAGUCUGGAGUGAAAGUCCUGUUUUCAAGAUGGGAAUUGCUUUGGAUACUGAUGGGCUUGAGUGCAGGAGAGGUUAUCGGAAUUCCCGGUGUAGCGGUGAAAUGCGUAGAGAUCGGGAGGAACACCAGUGGCGAAGGCGGGUAACUGGACUGCAACUGACGCUGAGGCGCGAAAGUGUGGGGAGCAAACAGGAUUAGAUACCCUGGUAGUCCACACUGUAAACGAUGAGUGCUAGGUGUAAGAGGUAUCGACCCCUUUUGUGCCGGAGUUAACACAAUAAGCAUUCCGCCUGGGGAGUACGGCCGCAAGGUUGAAACUCAAAGGAAUUGACGGGG